AAAUAGAAUACAAGAAAAAAGGAUAAGGUCAAGAACCUUUUCACCAAAGAGAGAUUCUGAUUUUUUUGGAUACAUGAUCUUAUGCGCGGGGGCUCGAUUGGUUGGGCUCGAGGUUGAUGUAGUACAUGUUAGUGUUGAGCUUCAAAUUGACUGUUGUGGGUCUUUGUGAAGACAAUACAACUGUAAAGCAGUUCGUCUCUGAGGAGGAGUAGUGUGGACUACCCGAUUAUGGAGGAAUUGAGCUUAAGCAUGUCGGGGGAUGCGACCCCCAAUUUUUUCCCGAGUUGGAGUAAGCAUGACCAGUGUCUCGCUGAUUCCGAUUCAACUACAUGUCAUGAUUUGAUUUGUCUUUUUGUCAAAAUUGUUUUUCCCCUUUUCUUCUUUAAAUAGAUUUUGAAUUUGAGUUUAGAGGAAAUAAACUCCUAGUGAGUGCUUCCUUUUCAAUAUAUUUUACUCAUACGAAAUGAAUCUAAACUAGCCUACUUAGCGUUUCAAAUUAAAUAAAUCUUCCAAUUACACUUGCUUUGCGAACAGUCUUAUAUAUAGCUCUAUUUUAUUUUGUUUUCCCCUUGAGGGUAUUAUGUAGAAUUUGCACUCCACUGACCUAAAAGAGUUUUGUUCUUUUUGUCCUAGUUUUUGCAUAAAUAGCAGAAUUUAU
This 658-nucleotide long non-coding RNA is filed under the name Solanum tuberosum (potato). Its description in RNAcentral is "long non-coding RNA (STUB_LNC002254)". The record is from RNAcentral. Lineage: Eukaryota; Viridiplantae; Streptophyta; Magnoliopsida; Solanales; Solanaceae.